This 476-nucleotide ribosomal RNA is filed under the name Gemella haemolysans. Its description in RNAcentral is "bacterial SSU rRNA". It matches the Rfam family "Bacterial small subunit ribosomal RNA", at positions 38 to 486 of the family's 1533-position model. The record is from RNAcentral. Lineage: Bacteria; Bacillati; Bacillota; Bacilli; Caryophanales; Gemellaceae.
GACGAACACGGCGGCGUGCCUAAUACAUGCAAGUCGAGCGAAGUUUUUUUGGUGCUUGCACCGGAAAAACUUAGCGGCGAACGGGUGAGUAACACGUAAAGAACCUGCCUCAUAGACUGGGACAACUAUUGGAAACGAUAGCUAAUACCGGAUAACAGCAUUAACUGCAUGGUUGAUGUUUAAAAGUUGGUUAUGCUAACACUAUGAGAUGGCUUUGCGGUGCAUUAGCUAGUUGGUGGGGUAAAGGCCUACCAAGGCGACGAUGCAUAGCCGACCUGAGAGGGUGAUCGGCCACACUGGGACUGAGACACGGCCCAGACUCCUACGGGAGGCAGCAGUAGGGAAUCUUCCGCAAUGGGCGAAAGCCUGACGGAGCAACGCCGCGUGAGUGAAGAAGGAUUUCGGUUCGUAAAGCUCUGUUGUUAGGGAAGAAUGAUUAUGUAGUAACUAUACAUAGUAGAGACGGACCUAACCAA